RNAcentral lists this non-coding RNA (22 nucleotides) under Arabidopsis thaliana (thale cress). Lineage: Eukaryota; Viridiplantae; Streptophyta; Magnoliopsida; Brassicales; Brassicaceae. The record is from RNAcentral.
CUGGAGCCUGCACUGGUACCAC